This 424-nucleotide long non-coding RNA is filed under the name Gallus gallus (chicken). RNAcentral describes it as "long non-coding RNA NONGGAT008476". The record is from RNAcentral. Lineage: Eukaryota; Metazoa; Chordata; Aves; Galliformes; Phasianidae.
GUACAAAAACCAGAGUAUAAACACUGGACCUAGAAGACUGGGAGUCAUAAAGCAGAUAUUAGCAGCAAAAUGAGACACCUUCAACGUCUCCUUCACAUCUCACCUGGUGGGCAGCAGCACAGCACCCUCAGGAGAGCAAAGCAUUUGAACAUGUUGGCACCAUCAUAUAUGUGAUAUAAGCACAUUACUCAAUGUGGUCCAGACUUCUCAGCAGUUUUAAGGCCUUUAAGAGCCUUCCAAAUAGAAACGUCAUGAAAGCAUCUGAUAGUGACACGGAUAUAAAAGUACCGCUGCUAUGAAUAAAAACCAUCAUUAUGAUUAAUAAAAACCAUCAUUAUGAUGAAAGCCCGAUGUGACAAAGUAGUUCUGAUAGGAAUUCAUGACUAACAGGUACUUAUAAUAACAUGUCUCAAAAUGAGAUACC